UUUGAAAUAUUUUAAUUUUGACUGAGAUUUUCAACAUUUGAGAUGCCUAUUUAGUUUUAUAGAUAUAUUUUUUCGUGAGAAAUUUCUCCCAAUCUGAAAUUUCGAAAACAUUUGUAUUAUAUAAACAAAAGACAUUUAACUCCCGGCUAUGAUAAUCAUCGUUGACCAAAAAAACUAUGAUAACCAUCUUCUAUCUUGCACUUCACGGCCAGGUUAGUUACUACACCAGUCGCACCCAAUGCUCUGGAGAGUUGUAAUAUUAAAUAUAGUUAAUGCGUCAUUGCCUGCAUGAUGUUUAUUUAAUAUACACUUAGGACUGCAUCCGUACUAAAACACAAGUCACUUAACCACUAAAAAUUUUACACAUGUCAAAGUUUUAUAAUUUUUUUUGAAAAAUCUAACUAUUGAAAAUUUAUGUUUUCAUCUCUUAUUUUUCUGCGACUC
RNAcentral lists this long non-coding RNA (444 nucleotides) under Brassica napus (rape). RNAcentral's name for it is "long non-coding RNA (BNAP_LNC013016)". The record is from RNAcentral. Lineage: Eukaryota; Viridiplantae; Streptophyta; Magnoliopsida; Brassicales; Brassicaceae.